UCAUCGGUGUCCGGGUUCCUGCUGAGCUUCCAGACGUGGACAAAGGAAUCCUCUGCACCCGAGAGCAGCUGCCAGGGGAGCAGGGGGACAGUGGGGACACCUCGGAGGUGGCAGUGCCACUGGCAGGGUGGGAUUUGAGGUUGGGAUGCCAGGUGGGAUGUGGAGUGAGAUGCCAGGCUGGGAUUUCAGGAUGGAAUUCCAAACUGGGAUUUCUGGCUGGAAUGCCAGUUGACAUGUUGGGAUUUCAGGAUAGAAUUCAAGGUGGGAUGCCAAGUUGGGAUGCCAGGUUGGGAUUUCAGGAUGGAAGGCCAGGUUGGAAUGCCAGGCUGAGAUGUCAGGUUGGAAUGCCAGGUGGAUGUUGGGGUGGGAUGCAGGUUGGGAUUUCAGCUUAGAAUGCCAGGUUAAGAUUUUAAGUUGGAAUGCCAGGUUGGGAUUUCAGGAUGGAAUUCAAGGUGGGAUGUCAGGUUUGGAUUUCAGGUUGGAAUACCAGGUGGAUGUUGGUGUGGGAUGCAGGCUGGGAUUUCAGGUUGGGAUUUCAGGCUGGAAUGCCAGGGUGAGAUGUCAGGUUGGAAUUUCAGGUGGAUGUUGGGGUGGGAUGCAGGUUGGGAUUUCAGGCUGGAAUUCAAGGUGGGAUGAAAGGUUGGGAUUUCAGGUGGAUGUUGGGGUGGGAUGUCAGGGUGGGAUGCCAGGCUGAAAUUUCAGCUUGGAAUGCCAGGUUAAGAUUUUAAGUUGGAAUGCCAGGUUGAGAUUUCAGCUUGGAAUGCCAGGUUGGGAUUUCAGGAUGGAAUUCAAGGUGGGAUGAAAGGUUGGGAUUUCAGGUUGGAAUGCCAGGUUGGGAUUUCAGGAUGGAAUUCAAGAUAGGAUGUCAGGUUCAGAUUUCAGGUUGGAAUACCAGGUGGAUGUCGGUGUGGGAUGCAGGCUGGGAUUUCAGGUUGGGAUUUCAGGCUGGUAUGCCAGGGUGAGAUGCCAGGUUGGAAUGCCAGGUGGAUGUCGGUGUGGGAUGCAGGCUGGGAUAUCGGGCAGGAUGCCAGCAUGGGAUGCUUUGGGUGCCCCCAGCCGUGCCCGUUCCCCCCGUACCUU
RNAcentral lists this long non-coding RNA (1080 nucleotides) under Zonotrichia albicollis (white-throated sparrow). RNAcentral describes it as "lncRNA (ENSZALG00000002075.1)". The record is from RNAcentral. Lineage: Eukaryota; Metazoa; Chordata; Aves; Passeriformes; Passerellidae.